This 519-nucleotide ribosomal RNA is filed under the name bacterium PN47. RNAcentral's name for it is "bacterial SSU rRNA". It matches the Rfam family "Bacterial small subunit ribosomal RNA", at positions 11 to 511 of the family's 1533-position model. The record is from RNAcentral.
GUUAGAUCCUGGCUCAGAUUGGACGCUGGCGGCAUGCCUUACACAUGCAAGUCGAACGGCAGCACGGGGGCAACCCUGGUGGCGAGUGGCGAACGGGUGAGUAAUACAUCGGAACGUGUCCUGUAGUGGGGGAUAGCCCGGCGAAAGCCGGAUUAAUACCGCAUACGAUAAUACGGAAGAAAGGCGGGGGAUCCUUCGGGACCUCGGCGCUAUAGGGGCGGCCGAUGGCAGAUUAGGCUAGUUGGUGGGGUAAAGGCCUACCAAGGCGACGAUCUGUAGGCUGGUCUGAGAGGGACGACCAGCCACACUGGGACUGAGACACGGCCCAGACUCCUACGGGAGGCAGCAGUGGGGCAAUUUUGGACAAUGGGGGAAACCCUGAUCCAGCAAUGCCGCGUGUGUGAAGGAAGGCAUUCGGGUUUGUAAAGCACUUUUGUCCGGGAAAGAAAACUUCUGCCCCUAAUACGGUGGGGAGGGAUGACGGUUACCGGGGAAAGGAAUAAGGGCAACCGGGGCUAA